UGUUCCAGGGCACUAGCAUCACCCGCCCUCAGGGCUUCUGCUCAACUUCUUGGCCCAUCAUGAUGGCACCACCUCUUCCCAAACCAGGUCACUGUUUCACUCAGAGAAGAUGAUUAAACUGCUGCAUCAAGGCCAAGGCCUAUGACCGAGUCGGGAACUGCAAGACAAGGGAUGUUAAGACUGUGAGUAAAGGAAACCUCCACCCAGGGCUUAGGGGUGGGUCCUGGCGCUUUAAUUUCACUUAACCCGAUUUUCCAAACUUGUCUCUGCUUUUCCUACUUCUGCUUUUUCUUUUGUCUAUUAAUAUCUCACAUAAAUGAAGAUGAUUUUGGAAGCCACAGGUCAUCUCUGUAGAGCAUCGACAACCUAGAAGGGUUCAGAAUCGGUGGUGUACUCAUGGAUUCAAAGUCCACACCUGCCCUGUGCCCUUGGAAUGUCACCGAUGGCAGGAUUCUGGGGACUUAUAGAUGGAUGUGUGUGUCUGAUGAAUCCCCCUCCUCAUUGGCAGUGUCCCCAUGUGGGAAAGGAGACAGGAAGCAACUCUUUGGUCACCAUGCUGGGUAGCUCAUAUAAAUCAUCUCCUCUAAUGUCUACUAGCCCCCCUGAGAGAACGGCAUAUGCACUUCACGGUCUAGGGAAGCUGCAUCCUAGUUGCUAGCAAGUGCUUUGCAUCCAUUAACUUAUGUCCCUUGGUUCUCAUUGCUGUUCCCUUUAUGAAAACAGAACAGAUUUGCCCCCCUCCUCUUUUAAAAGCUUUACGCAAGACUAAGAAGACUCUCUAGUAAAUGCCUCCCAGGUGACUUAGAUAGGCUACAGGACAUCUCUGCUGCCUUGUUUCCAGACAGUGACUUAGGAUUGUGAGAGCAAUGGCUUCUAUCUUCAGGACCCCAGGGACUCAAUUCCAUCCCAAAUGCCACUCUUGGAAAAAUGAUCCAACAAGGUGUGGGCUUGGGGCCUCUGUAAAUGCUGUGCUAACUCACUGGACACCAAGCUCAGGGCAUGUACCUGACGAUGGCAACCAAGGCCAACAGGCACAUUCCCAUUUCCACUUCCCUUUCAGCUUGGGCACUCACCAGUGCAAAUGAAGCCACUAGUGUUGAUACCUGAGGGAAGAGAGGCAGGGGGCCCGGGUGAGUGGAACACUGCCCUGGGAUGCCAAAUCUCCUGACCACCCCCUUCAUGGGUCCAUUUUGAUUUUGGGGGCACCCAAUUUGGCCCCCUCCUCCAUCUCCUUUCAGGCUGCCCUUGAUCCAUAAUGCCUGUCAACCUCAGGCAGCCCCGUUGGCGAGAUCCGGGAUGCACUUUGGGAGGAGGAAAGGGCGAACUCUGUAGCAAUGUUCUCCCAAGGGUCAGAAUUGCUGUUCACUUCUUCCCUUGGGGAGAAGCCUGGGUCUUUGCCAGCCCUGUGCCUAAAAGCACAUUCAGCAAUUCUCCAGAACAACAGAUUCAGCAAGCAGGGUGCGUGGAACCACGCAGUGGGGCACAGUGGAGAGCGUCUGUUUGCUAAAUAAAAGGCAGGUAAUCCCAGCAAUCAGCUCCCUUCCUGACUAAGGGCCGUAGUCACGUAAACAGCAUUAGCUGGGAAUGAAGUCGUUGGUUCUGCCAACAGCUGCCUUCGUCACUGACCCACAGCAUGCCUGUUCUAGUGAUCUGCCUCACCUGCCAUGGGGUGAAACGUCUGGGCUCCCCAGGUUGCAGAAUGGGACUAAAGGUCUCUGUGUGUCAGCCCUAGACUUAGUUAUUAGCAUGCAAUAAGCAGACCAUCAACCCUGGGAAGUUUGGAGUCCCACUAUAACCUGAAUAUGGCUCCUGACCGUUUUCUGACCUCUUGAUCAUCUGUCCAUUGGUACGUGAGUAAAUAAUGCAAAUUAAUCAUAAUCAUUUCCUAAGCAAACAAAGUUACUUUGGCAAUUAUACCAGCUCCAAAGUGCAGGGCAAUGUGGCCCUAACGAACAUGGGAGGGUGUAUCUGAUCUCCUGGCUGACCACUGAUGACGUCCCCUCAGGUAACAUGUAGCUGACAGCCAGGCCUGGCCUCUAGAACAUCAUCAGGGCUUUUCAUCAAGACUCCAGGAGAAAAUAAAUGCACAUAUCAUCUGUGCCCUUGGCAUGGGCAGCAAGGGUGACCUUGAUUUUCAGGUGUGCACAGCUACCUUUGACCUUCAAGUCCCACUGGAGAGGCAUAGGCACGAUCCCAACGAAAAGGAAGCUGCCUGAGUCAGCCCCCAGCGACCUUGCGUAGUCCACCAUUGUCCUUGUGUCUUAGCACUUCAGUCUGCAAUCAAUCAAUGCCCAUUUGGUGCUCAGCAAAUCCCACAGAGAUGUUCAGUUCAAGGACUCUGGACGGACGUGCAGGACGGAUCUCAAGGACAUGGUGGUAUUUGACAACUCUCCUUAUGCCAAUGUGGAUCAAAAGAUAUUUUGUACAAUGUUCCUAAAUAUAACUCCUAAGAAUUGCAUGAGGUCUUGGAAGAAAACGGGGGGAGAGAGAAGCCUUCCAAGUGGGACUCCCGGUGGCUUACACAAGCUUCCUCUGCCUCAGCACCACACACAGGGCCAACAGCACCACCGUGCUGAAAGCCUUGCUUUGCCUUUUCUGUCCCCACUUAUUGUAGCUUUUGACCUUCUAGGUCAAAGAGCAAAGUGUAAUUACAAAGUUCAUUGUCCACUAGCCUGUGUAAGAGGACAUUUUCU
RNAcentral lists this long non-coding RNA (2693 nucleotides) under Marmota monax (woodchuck). Lineage: Eukaryota; Metazoa; Chordata; Mammalia; Rodentia; Sciuridae. The record is from RNAcentral.